AGAGUUUGAUCAUGGCUCAGAACGAACGCUGGCGGCGUGGAUAAGACAUGCAAGUCGAGCGCUGAUUAUAGGGUAGCAAUAUCUUGUAGUCGGAGCGGCGCAAGGGUGCGUAACACGUGGGUAAUCUGCCAUGAAGUUUGGGAUAACUUGCUGAAAGGCGAGCUAAUACCGGAUGUGACCGUUGGGAGGCAUCUCCUGAUGGUUAAAGUUGGGGACCGUAAGGCCUGACGCUUCAUGAUGAGCCCGCGGCCUAUCAGCUAGUUGGUGAGGUAACGGCUCACCAAGGCUAAGACGGGUAGCUGGUCUGAGAGGACGACCAGCCACACUGGAACUGAGACACGGUCCAGACACCUACGGGUGGCAGCAGUCGAGAAUUUUUCACAAUGGGCGCAAGCCUGAUGGAGCGACGCCGCGUGGGGGAUGAAUGGCUUCGGCCCGUAAACCCCUGUCAUUCGCGAUCAAACCUCGCUAUUUAAAAGAUGGCGAGCUGAUAGUAGCGGAAGAGGAAGGGACGGCUAACUCUGUGCCAGCAGCCGCGGUAAUACAGAGGUCCCGAGCGUUGUUCGGAUUCACUGGGCGUAAAGGGUGCGUAGGUGGUGAGGUAAGUCGGAUGUGAAAGCUCGGAGCUCAACUCCGAAAUGGCAUUGGAAACUACCUUGCUCGAGGGUUGGAGGGGGGACUGGAAUUCUCGGUGUAGCAGUGAAAUGCGUAGAUAUCGAGAGGAACACCAGUGGCGAAGGCGAGUCCCUGGACAACUCCUGACACUGAGGCACGAAAGCUAGGGGAGCAAACAGGAUUAGAUACCCUAGUAGUCC
RNAcentral lists this ribosomal RNA (815 nucleotides) under uncultured bacterium. Its description in RNAcentral is "bacterial SSU rRNA". It matches the Rfam family "Bacterial small subunit ribosomal RNA", at positions 8 to 796 of the family's 1533-position model. The record is from RNAcentral.